This is a long non-coding RNA of Parasteatoda tepidariorum (common house spider), 322 nucleotides long. Lineage: Eukaryota; Metazoa; Arthropoda; Arachnida; Araneae; Theridiidae. The record is from RefSeq and is a predicted model, not a curated record.
UCAAUAACAGUUGAAUAUUUUUUUAACAUUUGAUAAUAAAUUUUGACUUUCACCUCUUCCUUUGAAGAUCAGAGUGGUCUGUUCAAAAUCUUUUAACAGAAACUUAUUAAUUAUUAGGUACUUUUCAAUUUAAAAAAAAAGCGGUUUAUCUCACAUUGAUUAAAACCUCAUUUGUUUCUAUUUCUAUGUAAAAAUGAUCAAUAAACUUAAACUUUCUUUUUUUUUACUUCUUCCGUAAAACAUAAAAGGAAGAAUAGAAUUAAAAGAAAAAAAUGAUUUCAUUUCAUUAUUGCUUUAUUUUGCUCUUACCAUUUUACACUAC